Cygnus atratus (black swan) is the source of this 682-nucleotide long non-coding RNA. RefSeq lists it as uncharacterized. The record is from RefSeq and is a predicted model, not a curated record. NCBI's taxonomy places the organism in Eukaryota, Metazoa, Chordata, Aves, Anseriformes, Anatidae. The transcript has 5 exons.
AGGGUCUACCUCACUGUCUGCUGCCACAAGGAGAAGAGGAAAAUUCUUAACACUGAGGGGCACAAUGCCCUCCACAAGUCAUCUGUCAGCUGCCCUUUCAGCACCCAGAACAUCAAAUUUGAGCAUGAGCCAUCUCUGCCAAAGCAAUGACCUUGGUGAGCCUGUUGAACCCCUUCUGUUUGCCUCCAAGAAAAUUCUGAUGGAUGGGGGCCUCAUUCUGCUGGAUGACCGGUACAGAUCUCCUUGGUGCUAAUAAGCUCUCUGUCUCUGAAAGACCACAGACUGAGGGGAAGCGGCUGCUAGCAUAGAUGAUCAAGCUGAAAAUGCCCCACAGCGUGGCUGCCUGCAUCCCUGUUGUGCAUGCUGCAAUGGAGGCUCUCACUGUGGAGGUGACUAAAGAUCUGGGGAUCAUUUAGCAGCUGGACCCACCAAACAAGCAGAUGUGAUCUGUCAGAUCUCCAGGCCGUCAGCCACAGGCAUCAGCCUGAUGGCUGCCGAUGCAAGACUGAGAGAUGGUGCUCGCGCUCCAAAGAUGGCUCGCUGUGACGGUGGAGGUUAUGUGCACGGCUCUGCCUAUGGAGGUUCGGUGGCUUCUCUGGCAGGGGCUCAGAAGGAAGAGGAUGCCAAGGUAGCCCCAGCUAUUCCUGGUCUUCAGAAGAAGUCAGCGUUUAAAGGGGAGAUG